CAGUCGAGCGGUAACAGAGAGUAGCUUGCUACUCUGCUGACGAGCGGCGGACGGGUGAGUAAUGCUUGGGAAUGUACCUUAUGGUGGGGGACAACAGUUGGAAACGACUGCUAAUACCGCAUAAUGUCUUCGGACCAAAGCGGGGGACCUUCGGGCCUCGCGCCAUAAGAUCAGCCCAAGUGGGAUUAGCUAGUUGGUGAGGUAAUGGCUCACCAAGGCGACGAUCCCUAGCUGGUUUGAGAGGAUGAUCAGCCACACUGGGACUGAGACACGGCCCAGACUCCUACGGGAGGCAGCAGUGGGGAAUAUUGCACAAUGGGCGCAAGCCUGAUGCAGCCAUGCCGCGUGUGUGAAGAAGGCCUUCGGGUUGUAAAGCACUUUCAGUAAGGAGGAAAGGUUGGAUGUUAAUAGCAUUCAGCUGUGACGUUACUUACAGAAGAAGCACCGGCUAACUCCGUGCCAGC
Molecule: ribosomal RNA, 464 nt
Filed under: bacterium 2311-S5-01-2.1
Lineage: Bacteria
Description: bacterial SSU rRNA
Rfam family: Bacterial small subunit ribosomal RNA
Source: RNAcentral